This is a non-coding RNA of Parasteatoda tepidariorum (common house spider), 315 nucleotides long. NCBI's taxonomy places the organism in Eukaryota, Metazoa, Arthropoda, Arachnida, Araneae, Theridiidae. The record is from RefSeq and is a predicted model, not a curated record.
UUUCUUUAUUUUGUAGACUUUAUUUAGCGUGGGAUGUUUUAUACAGCAAGCCAUAUUGCAGAAUAGGACCUUAUUUGAUCGGGAUACUUUUGGCGUAUGUACUAUUCAAGAAUAAGAAUGCGAAGAACAUUUCAGGGAGGUGGAUUGGAAUUGUGGGGUGGACUGCGUCUUCGCUAUGCUGUAUAAGUGUAAUUUACGGAGUAUACCACAUACAGCCAGAACCAUACUUGUUCCAUUUCUACAAUGCAUUGUCCAGAAGUGCCUUCAGUGGAGGAGUAGCAUGGGUCAUUUAUACCUGUCUGUCAGGAAAAGCGG